Molecule: ribosomal RNA, 298 nt
Filed under: uncultured Coriobacteriaceae bacterium
Lineage: Bacteria; Bacillati; Actinomycetota; Coriobacteriia; Coriobacteriales; Coriobacteriaceae
Description: partial 16S ribosomal RNA
Rfam family: Bacterial small subunit ribosomal RNA
Source: RNAcentral
UUAAGUCCCGCAACGAGCGCAACCCUCAUCCUUAGUUGCCAUCAUUCAGUUGGGCACUCUAGCGAGACUGCCGGUAAUAAACCGGAGGAAGGUGGGAUGACGUCAAGUCAUCAUGCCCCUUAUGUCCUGGGCUGCACACGUGCUACAAUGGCCGGCACAAUGGGCUGCGAUACCGCGAGGUGGAGCGAAUCCAUAAACCGGCCCAGUUCGGAUCGAAGGCUGCAACUCGCCUUCCGUGAAGUCGGAGUUGCUAGUAAUCGCGGAUCAGCAUGCCGCGGUGAAUACGUUCCCGGGCCUU